Molecule: ribosomal RNA, 253 nt
Filed under: uncultured bacterium
Lineage: Bacteria
Description: partial 16S ribosomal RNA
Rfam family: Bacterial small subunit ribosomal RNA
Source: RNAcentral
UACGUAGGGUGCAGGCGUUAAUCGGAAUUACUGGGCGUAAAGGGUGUGUAGGUGGCGCGCUAAGUCGGGUGUGAAAUUUCGGAGCUUAACUCCGAAACUGCAUUCGAUACUGGCGUGCUUGAGGACUGGAGAGGAGACUGGAAUUCAUGGUGUAGCAGUGAAAUGCGUAGAGAUCAUGAGGAAGACCAGUGGCGAAGGCGGGUCUCUGGACAGUUCCUGACACUGAGACACGAAGGCCAGGGGAGCAAACGGG